RNAcentral lists this ribosomal RNA (637 nucleotides) under uncultured bacterium. RNAcentral describes it as "bacterial SSU rRNA". The stretch from base 1 to 542 matches the Rfam family "Bacterial small subunit ribosomal RNA", at positions 338 to 873 of the family's 1533-position model. The record is from RNAcentral.
CCUACGGGAGGCAGCAGUGGGGAAUUUUGGACAAUGGGCGCAAGCCUGAUCCAGCAAUGCCGCGUGAGUGAAGAAGGCCUUCGGGUUGUAAAGCUCUUUUGUCAGGGAAGAAACGGUCUACUCUAAUACAGUGGGCUAAUGACGGUACCUGAAGAAUAAGCACCGGCUAACUACGUGCCAGCAGCCGCGGUAAUACGUAGGGUGCAAGCGUUAAUCGGAAUUACUGGGCGUAAAGCGUGCGCAGGCGGUUAUAUAAGUCAGAUGUGAAAUCCCCGGGCUCAACCUGGGAACUGCAUUUGAGACUGUAUGGCUAGAGUGUGUCAGAGGGGGGUAGAAUUCCACGUGUAGCAGUGAAAUGCGUAGAUAUGUGGAGGAAUACCGAUGGCGAAGGCAGCCCCCUGGGAUAACACUGACGCUCAUGCACGAAAGCGUGGGGAGCAAACAGGAUUAGAUACCCUGGUAGUCCACGCCCUAAACGAUGUCUACUAGUUGUCGGGACUUAAUUGUCUUGGUAACGCAGCUAACGCGUGAAGUAGACCGCCUGGGGGAGGUACGGUCGCGAGAAGUUAAACGUAACGUAAAGUAAGUUAGUACGGACGUGAGACGUACGACCGACGGACGACGACGAGGGAGGAGG